AUGGAGGGAGCUUCCGGAGAAGGAAACCCUGGCCCCGGCCCUGGCCUGCCACCGCCGGAGUUCGACGGCCUGUUCCCCGAUGUGGGGUGGGAGUUGCUGGGCGAGGCGAGACAGCGUUUCAUCAUCGCGGUCCUGCAUCAAGACGAGGAGGAGAACCGCAUCCAUCCUCCCCGACCUUCUCGGAAGGAGCGCCGCCGCCGCCGUAAGGCCAUCAAGGACCCGAGCAACGACGACGGCCAUGGCUCCAAGUCCGACGACUUGUUCGAACAACCAGGCCCACAAUUUGACAUGUUGUGGUGCGAGAUAGAUGAGUCGACAAGGAGCGGAUUGUCACCGAGUCAAGAUCAAAGAAGCAUAGAAGACAAAGUGUGUCAAGACUAG
RNAcentral lists this ribosomal RNA (381 nucleotides) under Triticum aestivum (bread wheat). RNAcentral describes it as "partial small subunit ribosomal RNA". Lineage: Eukaryota; Viridiplantae; Streptophyta; Magnoliopsida; Poales; Poaceae. The record is from RNAcentral.